Long non-coding RNA from Trachymyrmex septentrionalis, 101 nucleotides. RefSeq lists it as uncharacterized. The record is from RefSeq and is a predicted model, not a curated record. Lineage: Eukaryota; Metazoa; Arthropoda; Insecta; Hymenoptera; Formicidae. The transcript is spliced from 3 exons.
CUUCUUUUCUGAGGAUUUAGUAUAGAGACGAACCACAUCUAUUGUCGACGAUACGAUUUUAUCGAUAGUGUUGGGAAGUGUAUGUAUUAUAGGCACGUAGU